GGGGUUGUGGCUCAGCGGUAGAGUGCUCGCCUCGCAUGAGGGAUCCUGGGUUCGAUCCUCAGCACCACA
RNAcentral lists this transfer RNA (69 nucleotides) under Marmota monax (woodchuck). Its description in RNAcentral is "tRNA.Arg". The record is from RNAcentral. Lineage: Eukaryota; Metazoa; Chordata; Mammalia; Rodentia; Sciuridae.